Hemicordylus capensis (graceful crag lizard) is the source of this 5931-nucleotide long non-coding RNA. RefSeq lists it as uncharacterized. NCBI's taxonomy places the organism in Eukaryota, Metazoa, Chordata, Lepidosauria, Squamata, Cordylidae. The transcript is spliced from 2 exons. The record is from RefSeq and is a predicted model, not a curated record.
AGGCCAGAUGUUUGGAAUCUGCUGAAGCGUGCUUCCCUGCACCUGAAGGGAUACGUCUGAAGCAGAGAGCAAGAGCACUGCAAAGGGAGAACCUGCAGACAGAUAACUCGGAGAACUGCAAAAUCAUGCACAGGGCACACAAGCCAGAUCAGAACUACCACAGGAGGGAGUGGAGCUUUAAUAUGUUGCCACAGGCAGCAGCGCUAUAAGAAGAUACUGAAAGGCAUGAUCUCAUACUGUGCGGGAGGAGGGUAAACCCCUCCUGUAUUCUACCAAAGACAACCACAGGGCUCUGUGGUCGCCAGGAGUUGACACUGACUCGACGGCACACUUUACCUUUACCUCUACAGUCUCGAUCCAGAAUGAAUAAAUGAAUGGACUUGAUUACAGACAAACCAGCAACAGUAUAAUCAACAUAAACUAUGAGCAGCUUUAAAAAGAGGUAAAAAUACAUUUUAGAGGUCUUGAUCCAGAUCGUCCAUGCCUGUGCAUGCUAUUUCCUUGGGGGGAAGCUUCCACUGGUGCCAAGUAGCCAGUGGUUAAAGGGAACAGUAGCUAUGUGCUGCCUGGCUACUGAGCAAUGAAGACAUGCUGACCAAUAGACCAACUUAAGGUCUAGAGGGGUAGCUGUGCUACACCCAGCAAAGAAAAGUCUUGCUGCACCUUCAACAGAUGUAUUGUGCCAUACGUUUAUGCUAUACACAAAAACCCUGUUAGACUUAUUGAUUGAUUGAUUGAUUGAUUGUCAUCUAUAUACCGCCUUUCAUUAAAAACAAUCCCAAGGCGGUUUACAAAAGUUAAAACACAUAUAAUAAAAAUGACAAAAGUGUUAAGCUUUUAAUACUUUUAAAAGCUAAAAUAUAAAAAGCUAAAAAUAUAAAAAGAAAUCUGAUUUAAAAUAUAUAAUAUACAAACACAAAAAACUAUACAUGGACUUAAAAAGUUCCACAAGAUUCCUCUCUGUGUUUUUAGAAAUUUUACAGAGGAUUAUACUUAACCAACCCAAUUUAAUAUACUAUAUGCCUAACACUACUUGACACCCUUCCUAUUUGUGUCCCCUUCCCAAUCUGGCCCAGUAAGGUUAAUUUAAUUAUCUUUUCCUCUGUCCUCCGUAACAGCCAUGGAUUACAGAGGGUUAGUCCAUUGCAGCAACAGUGACAAAAGGUCUUGUGGCAUCUUAAAGACUAAUUGGUUUACUGAGGCAUUUACUGAGACCUUUUUGACAAAGUAUCAUAUUUUUCAGCCCAGCUCUGCUGAUGGAGAAAAGCAGAAACUGCUACCACUACCACUCUGUUUCAGACAGACCACAUGUGAUUAUACUGUGUAGCAGCAAUUGAUACCUCAAAAGAAGUAAUAUAUCUCACCUCAUAAGUUCUAUACUCUAAGAAGUCAGAAUGGUGGUAUAUCGGAAUCACUGCAGCUUGUUACCUUGUUUGUGUUUAGAAGCUUGUCCCAUUAGCGUUUCUGUGGUGUGGCGCAGUGGGGAAAUGCUUGACUAACAAGCAGAAGGUUGCCGGUUCGAAUCCCCAUUGCUACUAUAUCGGACAGCAGUGAUAUAGGAAGAUGCUGAAAGGCAACAUCUCAUACUGCGCAGGAGGAGGCAAUGGUAACCCCUCCUGUAUUCUACCAAAGAAAACCACAGGGCUCUGUGGGCACCAAGAGUCGAAAUCGACUUGAUGGCACACUUUACCUUAGUGUGGGCCUCAGGACUCAACUUCCCAAGGUGCUUGGUGGAGGUGGAGGGGAGAGAUGGAGGAGAGGAAUGGCAGAAAGUGAGGUUGCAGAGGAAAAAUAACAGAAAACAAAGAUAGUGAGCAACCUAAGGAAAAACAACAGACAACAAAGACAGUGAGCAGUCAUCAGUUUCAAAAGGGAAGAUCAAAAGUAGGCAGGGGAAAAACAAAUCAUAUAUGCAGCAGGCUAAAAUCCCUUGAUUAUGUCCCCUGUUAACUGAGCAAAGAGGCACCUUUUUAAAGUGGUGGUUUUCUUUACUGAGCAAGGGGGGAGCAACUGGUUCUAUUCAUCCCCAGCACAGCAUCCCUCCAGUGGCUGCUGCUGGUGUCUAUCUUAUGUUUCUUUUUUCUAUUGUGAGCCCUCUGGGGACAGGGAGCCAGUUUAUUUUAUUUUAUUUUAUUGAUGUUUGUUUGUAUUUAUCUUUCUUUCUGUCUGUCUAUCUAUCUUGAUAAACCGCUUUGGGAACCUUUGUUGAAAAGCGCUGUAUAAAUAUUGGUUGUAUUGUUGUAUUGUAUUGGAGCAAAAGGGUCUUCAAGCAGUGAUGGAAAAGAGGCCAGGCAGAUUCCUGGGCAGAGAGUUCCAGAGGCUAGAUGUGGCCACAGAGAUUCCGCACCUACAUUCCCACCUGCUGCUCCACAGAUAGCAGGGUAUGUAGGAGGGCCUCCUCAGCUGAUCCUAGUGGAUACACACACACACAUGGAAGGAUGUAUCCUACUGUAGUUCUAAGCAAAUCUGGAGUUUUAAAAAGAGUAACCACCAGUGCUUUGAACUGGGCCCAGGAGCCAAUGAAGCUUGUACAAAAAGAGGAGGCAUCUACUGCCAGAAACCUCUAUAAGGUUAAGAGCAACUAUAUGUAUGCUUAGAAACUUUAUAUACCACCUUUUUGUUCUAUAGGAGCUUCCAAAGAGAUUCACAUUCAUACAGGGGUGGAUUAAGCUUUUUGCUUUUGCUACCCUUUUACCUUAAACAAAAAAGGUUUGCCUUUUUAAAAUAAGGUAAAAGGGGAGGGCUUUCUCUUCUCCCACUCCACCCUUGCUGCAGCUGCCGCUGCCCACAGAGAGGGGCAGCAAAAUUUGAGUAGGGGCAAAAUUUGCUGCUCCUCAAAUUUUGCCGCCAUAGGCAAAUGCCUACUCUGCCUCUCCAUUAAUCCACUGCUGCAUAUAUAGCUAUAGAAUUAUUAAAACUAUUAAAACCAACAACAGCAACAAAAACAGAAUAGCAAAGUCAAAAUAAUACUAUUAAGAACAACCAGAUCAAGCCCCUAAUCUUCCCCUGGCUGUCUCCAAAUUGCUUUAAGCACAAGGAUUGUCAAGACUCUUUGGGGACAACUAUGUUCUCCAACUGAUCCAGAGCCCCAGAAGUCUCAAACAAACUGACUCCGUGAUGUGUGGCUAUGCAUCGGGAAUGUAGCUGUAGCUCAGUGGCACUGGCAGAGCAUUUGUUUUGCCUGCAGAAGGUCCCUAGUUCAACCUCUGGAAUUUCCAAGUAGGGCUGGCAAAGAUCCAUCUGGAAACCCUGGAACAUUGCUGCCAGUCAGUGUCUGCAGGCCUGCUCAACUGAGGCCCCCCCCCAGCUAUUUUUGAACUACAGCUCCCAGAAUCCCCAGCCACAGUGGCCAAUAGCCAGAGAUUAUGGGAGUUGUAGGCCAACAUCUGCAGGAGGGCUGAAGUUGAGCAGCCCUGGAGACAACUACUGAGCUAGAUGGACCAAAGGUCUGAUUCAAUGUAAGGUGAGUUCCUGUGUUCAUAAUAAAGUUGGCCCCAUCUAGCAGUAAGCACUUGUGCUCAGAGCUAGUUUACAAAAUCCAUACACAAAAUUCAAGAGAGAUGCAGAGUAUGGAGUCUCUCUCUUUCUUACAGCACAGAAACAUUCCUUCUUAUGAAUGAAACUGUGCACACACUUCUAAACCACACUUUGGUUCAAAUUUGACACAGCCACGUCAAAUUGCUCUGGGCCUGUAUCUGGCCUGUGGGCUGCCACUUGACAAUCCUCACUCCCAACAGAAUAAAAAUGUCUUUACCACAUGCCACAUAGAGUUUGGAAUCUACAGUCUUAGACUGCCUGAGAUAAAUUUAAUCCUCUGGUAAAUUGGUGUGUGCAUGGGCCAGAGUGCCUCCAUUAUUUUGUGGCCAGAUGACACACAGUUUCUGUCAGCUCCUAACGUCUAGUUUCUGACAUCCCCAGGCACUAACAGAUAAGGCUGAAUGUGCACUUUUAGGCUGCUAAGAACCAGCCUAAACCUGCUUUGUCUUACAUUCUUUAAGGGGAUGGGGGAGGGAACAGACACUGCUUUUAGGAAAUGAUCUACUUUAGGAUGAGAUGUUUCUUUCUGGCCUUUGUUAUGGUAAUCUCUAUAUUAGAAGUGCCAUCUCAGUGAUUCUCACCCAUCAAUCACCCCAUUGGUCCUCCUUUCUGGAUCAAUUAGCUUCCUGAUGCUGGUUCCCAGAUUCACCUUUCUAUAAGAAUACAGUCAAAGUUGUUGUAAAAUGACUUUCAUCUGAAGCGGGGGUGAGCUGGUGGGGGGAAGUGAUGUUCUCUGAAUUCCUCACUGAACCUCCUGCCCAGGAGGCAGAGAGGAUCCUUGCUAUGGAUCUCUUGUAGCCAAGUACAUUAAACACAACUGCCUAUGUCAUCCAAGGUAUAAGUUAAGUUAGACGCAGUGGCCAACUUCCAGACUUACUGCUUGCUGGUGUGCCAGGAUUUUCCAUUGUGCGAGGGGUAUGUGUGUGUGUGUGUGCAUGAUUUUUGGUGAUCUCUGCUUCUCUCUGCUGCUUUCUCCUUCCAGAAAAUCCCCUCUCCUCUCCCUUCACAUGAUGGGAAACUCUGGUAUGUCGGUGGAGGGAUAGUCUGGAUGUUGGCCACUGUUUUACUUUUUAUUUAUUUGACUGCACCUUCACUUUGAUUCUAAAGGGGUAGCCUUCUUAGUCUGCUACAGCAAAAACAAAUCUUGUGGUACUUUGAAUAGGAAUGGUUCAGGACUGGGCUACCUCCUCCCACACCCACCUGCUCUCUCAUCUAUUAUGUUUCACCCUUUCUGGUCUUCUUCCAUCCUCUCCCCAUUAGUUUCACCUCCCCCUACAGUUCCUGAUCUCUUCUCCUGCACUUUCAGGAGAUCUCUGGGGCCCUUAGGGUUGCCAUAUUCAAUCUUCCCAAAUCCAGGUGAUCUAAUUUGCAUACUAUGCAAAUUGUGCCACAACUAAUUUGCAAUUUAUGCAUUCAUUUGACAGAUUUGUAUACUUUCCCCUCCUUCUCUGCCCUCCCAUGUGACUGGAUCCAGAGUAAAAUCCGGGCAGCACAUUUGAAAUCCAUGUAAAUCCGGUGGAAUUUAAAAGCCUAGUGGAGGAGCCAAAAUCCAGGGGCUACCCUAAAUUCCAGGUGACAUGGCAACCCUAUCUCGGGGUUCCCUUCCUUGCUCUGGAGCCUGUCUCCAUCAGAGAUGCAGUUGGCAGUGACCUCGGAUGAAGCCUUGUUGGUGGUGGUGCCUAGUUGUAGAAGUCCCUCCACCUGGAGGCCUAGCAUGGCCCCCCUCUGGCUGUCUUCCAUCAUGCAGUUAGGAGUCCUCACUGUAAACUGUCAUUUGCCUGCUAUGAUCCAACUCAAUUACUAAUGAGUCUCUCCUGCUGAGCAAAGAUACAUCUUUUAAUGUGGUUAUUCUCUUUAUUUAGCAGGGGGAGAGCAAGUGGCCCUAUCCAGCCCUAGCACAGCAUCCCUCCUGUGGCGUUGCUGGUGUCUGCUUUAUUUUAUUUUUUUAUAUUUAGAUUUUGAGCCCUUUGGGGACAGGGGACAUUUUAUGUAUUAUGUAUUAUCUAUUUUUCUAUGUAAAACACUUUGUGAACUUUGGUUGAAGAGCAGUAUAUAAAAAUAUUCAUAGUAUAUAAAUAUUUGUCAUAGUAGUAGUAAUUUUAUCCUCAAAUAAUCUGGUAUUUGCUGAUGUUUUGUUUUCUACAACUAUUUUAAAUUGUAUGUUUAACCUUUUAUUUGUUUCAUAUCUUUGGUUGCUUAACUUCAUGAAGAGGUAAGUAUUUGAGGUAAAAAGUGGGGUGGUGGUGGUGGUGGUAUCGAAGUCUACCAAAGCAUAAAUAAUUUUGUCGCACAAGCUUUUAUGGGCCAGAACCUGCUACACUGGAUGCAUGAAGUAUUAUCCACUUGUUACUUGUGUGUGUUCAGUACAGUAAACCUGAUCUGGGGAGACUCUAA